GCUAUGUAGCUCAGUUGGUUAGAGCACCGCACUCAUAAUGCGGGGGUCACAAGUUCAAGUCUCGUCAUAGCCACCAU
Molecule: transfer RNA, 77 nt
Filed under: Acinetobacter baumannii ATCC 17978
Lineage: Bacteria; Pseudomonadati; Pseudomonadota; Gammaproteobacteria; Moraxellales; Moraxellaceae
Description: tRNA-Met
Rfam family: tRNA
About the family: Transfer RNA (tRNA) molecules are approximately 80 nucleotides in length. Their secondary structure includes four short double-helical elements and three loops (D, anti-codon, and T loops). Further hydrogen bonds mediate the characteristic L-shaped molecular structure. tRNAs have two regions of fundamental functional importance: the anti-codon, which is responsible for specific mRNA codon recognition, and the 3' end, to which the tRNAs corresponding amino acid is attached (by aminoacyl-tRNA synthetases). tRNAs cope with the degeneracy of the genetic code in two manners: having more than one tRNA (with a specific anti-codon) for a particular amino acid; and 'wobble' base-pairing, i.e. permitting non-standard base-pairing at the 3rd anti-codon position.
Source: RNAcentral